GUCUUGUACACACCGCCCGUCACACCAUGAGAGUUGGGAAUACCCGAAGCCUGUGAGCUAACUAUAUGAGGCAGCAGUCGAAGGUAGAAUCAAUGAUUGGGGUAAAGUCGUAACAAGGUAGC
Molecule: ribosomal RNA, 122 nt
Filed under: uncultured bacterium
Lineage: Bacteria
Description: partial 16S ribosomal RNA
Rfam family: Bacterial small subunit ribosomal RNA
Source: RNAcentral